This 459-nucleotide ribosomal RNA is filed under the name uncultured bacterium. Its description in RNAcentral is "partial 16S ribosomal RNA". It matches the Rfam family "Bacterial small subunit ribosomal RNA", at positions 338 to 795 of the family's 1533-position model. The record is from RNAcentral.
CCUACGGGAGGCAGCAGUGAGGAAUAUUGGUCAAUGGGCGCGAGCCUGAACCAGCCAAGUCGCGUGAGGGAAGACGGUCCUAUGGAUUGUAAACCUCUUUUGUCGGGGAGCAAAAGACGCCACGCGUGGCGUUCCGAGAGUACCCGAAGAAAAAGCAUCGGCUAACUCCGUGCCAGCAGCCGCGGUAAUACGGAGGAUGCGAGCGUUAUCCGGAUUUAUUGGGUUUAAGGGGUGCGCAGGCGGAAGAGCAAGUCAGCGGUAAAAAUGAGAGGCUCAACCUCUUCGAGCCGUUGAAACUGGUUUUCUGGAGUGAGUGAGAAGUAUGCGGAAUGCGUGGUGUAGCGGUGAAAUGCAUAGAUAUCACGCAGAACUCCGAUUGCGAAGGCAGCAUACCGGCGCUCAACUGACGCUCAUGCACGAAAGUGUGGGUAUCGAACAGGAUUAGAUACCCGUGUAGUC